CAGCGGGUGUGGGUCCCGUCCGGGUAGGCGCCCGAGCGCCCGGUAGCAGGCCCCGGUCGGACGGCGAGAGCCGUCCGGCUGAGCGGGGCGUCAGAAGCCUCUUUGGAGGGAGCAAGAACACGGGCCGUAGCGAGC
This is a non-coding RNA of Chloroflexi bacterium GWC2_73_18, 135 nucleotides long. The record is from Rfam. Lineage: Bacteria; Bacillati; Chloroflexota.